CCUACGGGAGGCAGCAGUAGGGAAUAUUGCUCAAUGGGGAAACCCUGAAGCAGCAACGCCGCGUGGAGGAUGAAGGUUUUCGGAUUGUAAACUCCUUUUGUUAGAGAAGAUAAUGACGGUAUCUAACGAAUAAGCACCGGCUAACUCCGUGCCAGCAGCCGCGGUAAUACGGAGGGUGCAAGCGUUACUCGGAAUCACUGGGCGGAAAGAGCGCGGAGGCGGGAUAGCAAGUCAGAUGUGAAAUCCUAUGGCUUAACCAUAGAACUGCAUUUGAAACUGUUAAUCGAGAGUGUGGGUGGGGUAGGUGGAAUUCUUGGUGUAGGGGUAAAAGCCGUAGAGAUCAGGAGGAAUACUCAUUGCGAAGGCGACCUGCUAGAACAUAACUGAAGCUGAUGAGCGAAAGCGUGGGGAGCAAACAGGAUUAGAUACCCGGGUAGUC
RNAcentral lists this ribosomal RNA (439 nucleotides) under uncultured bacterium. RNAcentral's name for it is "partial 16S ribosomal RNA". It matches the Rfam family "Bacterial small subunit ribosomal RNA", at positions 338 to 795 of the family's 1533-position model. The record is from RNAcentral.